GCACUGCUGGGGAGUUCCAUACCAGGACGAAACGGCCGUCCAGUGC
This 46-nucleotide non-coding RNA is filed under the name Schistosoma mattheei. The record is from RNAcentral. Lineage: Eukaryota; Metazoa; Platyhelminthes; Trematoda; Strigeidida; Schistosomatidae.